Molecule: ribosomal RNA, 430 nt
Filed under: Pseudomonadota bacterium
Lineage: Bacteria; Pseudomonadati; Pseudomonadota
Description: Proteobacteria bacterium partial 16S ribosomal RNA
Rfam family: Bacterial small subunit ribosomal RNA
Source: RNAcentral
UGGGGAAUAUUGGACAAUGGGGGGAACCCUGAUCCAGCCAUGCCGCGUGUGUGAAGAAGGCCUUAUGGUUGUAAAGCACUUUAAGCGAGGAGGAGGGUACUAGUAUUAAUACUACCAGGUACUGGACGUUACUCGCAGAAUAAGCACCGGCUAACUCUGUGCCAGCAGCCGCGGUAAUACAGAGGGUGCGAGCGUUAAUCGGAUUUACUGGGCGUAAAGCGUGCGUAGGCGGCUAAUUGAGUCGGAUGUGAAAUCCCCGAGCUUAACUUGGGAAUUGCAUUCGAUACUGGUUAGCUAGAGUGUGGGAGAGGAUGGUAGAAUUCCAGGUGUAGCGGUGAAAUGCGUAGAGAUCUGGAGGAAUACCGAUGGCGAAGGCAGCCAUCUGGCCUAACACUGACGCUGAGGUGCGAAAGCGUGGGGAGCAAACAGG